Molecule: small nuclear RNA, 208 nt
Organism: Myotis lucifugus (little brown bat)
Lineage: Eukaryota; Metazoa; Chordata; Mammalia; Chiroptera; Vespertilionidae
Gene: U2
Rfam family: U2 spliceosomal RNA
About the family: U2 is a small nuclear RNA (snRNA) component of the spliceosome (involved in pre-mRNA splicing). Complementary binding between U2 snRNA (in an area lying towards the 5' end but 3' to hairpin I) and the branchpoint sequence (BPS) of the intron results the bulging out of an unpaired adenosine, on the BPS, which initiates a nucleophilic attack at the intronic 5' splice site, thus starting the first of two transesterification reactions that mediate splicing.
Source: Ensembl
AUAGCUUCUCAGCCCUUUUGGCUAAGAUCAAGUGUAGUAUCUAUUCUUAUCAUUUUAAUAUCUGAUACGUCUUCUAUAUGAGGACGUAUACUAAAUAUAUUAAUAUAUUAAAUGAAUUUUUGGAGCAGGGAGAUGGAACAGGAGCUUGCUCCGUCCACUCCAUGCGUUGACCCGGUAUUGCAGUACCUCUGGAAACGGUGCACAAAAA